RNAcentral lists this unclassified non-coding RNA (348 nucleotides) under soil metagenome. RNAcentral's name for it is "partial contains 5.8S ribosomal RNA, internal transcribed spacer 2, and large subunit ribosomal RNA". The stretch from base 1 to 120 matches the Rfam family "5.8S ribosomal RNA", at positions 35 to 154 of the family's 154-position model. The record is from RNAcentral.
GAUGAAGAACGUAGCGAAAUGCGAUAAGUAAUGUGAAUUGCAGAAUUCAGUGAAUCAUCGAAUCUUUGAACGCACAUUGCGCCCGCCAGUAUUCUGGCGGGCAUGCCUGUCUGAGCGUCAUUUCAACCCUCAUGCCCCUAGGGCGUGGUGUUGGGGAUCGGCCAAAGCCCGCGAGGGACGGCCGGCCCCUAAAUCUAGUGGCGGACCCGUCGUGGCCUCCUCUGCGAAGUAGUGAUAUUCCGCAUCGGAGAGCGAUGAGCCCCUGCCGUUAAACCCCCAACUUUCCAAGGUUGACCUCAGAUCAAGUAGGAAUACCCGCUGAACUUAAGCAUAUCAAUAAGCGGAGGA